CCCAGCAGCGGGGGUGCCUGGCCCGGGGCGACAGGUUGAGGUGGGCGAAGGCGAGCGGGAUCCCGCGGGACGCGCACCCGCUCCCGCCGCGGGGGCGGGCAGGGCCCCGUGGGGAGCCGCCACCCUCCGGCGCCGCCUGCGGGGCCCGGCCCGGCCGCCCCGCGCUCCCGGCUUGUGCUGCGGGGCACGGUCCCGCCUCGAAACCUUUGAGCCCCGCCGAAACGCCCGCUGCAACUUCCGCGUCGCCGGCGGCGUCGGGCCGGCCGCGGAGCCCUCCACGACGCCGCCGCCGCCGGGGACGCGGAGCGGGGGCGGCCGGUCCAGCCCUGCCCGCCGCCGCGCCCCGCUCCCACCGAAGCCGGAGGCGGUGGGGAAGUGGGAAGUCCCAGAAAAGCAGGUCCCGGGUACCUCCCUCAGGUGAGGGAGCCGGGCGCAGGGCUCCGGCUCCGGCUCCCGCUCCGCUCGUCGCCGCUGCCCAGGGAGGGAGCAGGUAGCUGAAGAUCUCCCUCCCUCCCUGCCUGCCUCCUCCCCUCCCCCGAGACGGGCAGCUCCAAUCCUGCAGAAACGCCUGAAACUGUUUCAGACCAAGGUUGUGUCCGCAUUACUCCCAGCUCAACCUUGUUGCUCCGAAGUGGAAAGCCAAGGAGUGAGUAGCUGCCACUGGAAGGCUGCAGCCUUCAGUAAGGAAUAACUCUUCUCUGGCCCAGCAGUUCAGUCUGCUGUGUGUCACAAGGCCGGCAAAAAGCACCGCACCAGAUCACAGAAAACCCUGAGAAACUUGUGGCCUUCUCCUUUCCCUUCCUCCUCAAGGCAAUUUCGGCGACCAACAUUUGGAACUGAAUCCAAGGAAGUUAUCAGAGACCCUUCCCCAUCAGCCCAUCAGAACAGUGUCAGGACUGAUGACUACCUUCACUUGCACAGUGUCGUGGCUUGGUGGGCCGCGUUUUGCUAAAGCCACCAGUUUGAUCCAAUCAGAAGUCUACUUUGUUACGUACGUCCACAAAGGAGAUAGUUCACCUUACAGUGUCAUUAAUUACGUGCUUAUUUCACAUAUUGGACCUCCCUAACCUGGUUUUGUUAUUGUGCUCAGUCUUGUUUCGUAUGUACACACCUUUAAAAAGUUAAUUUUCUCUCCUGCGCCUAUGCACCUCAACCCCGAAAAAAAAUGACUUCUAACAAGCACAUAUGUUUGUCAAUAGAGCUUUAGAAACA
Molecule: non-coding RNA, 1212 nt
Organism: Phalacrocorax carbo (great cormorant)
Lineage: Eukaryota; Metazoa; Chordata; Aves; Suliformes; Phalacrocoracidae
Source: RefSeq, a predicted model, not a curated record